CCUACGGGAGGCAGCAGUGGGGAAUUUUGCGCAAUGCUCGUAAGAGUGACGCAGCGACGCCGCGUGAAUGACGAAGGCCUUCGGGUCGUAAAGUUCUUUCGACAGGGAAGAAAAUGCCUAUAAGUAACUGUGUCUGUAUUGACGGUACCUGUAUAAGCAGCCCCGGCUAACUCCGUGCCAGCAGCCGCGGUAAUACGGAGGGGGCGAGCGUUGUUCGGAGUGACUGGGCGUAAAGAGCACGUAGGCGGUGUUGUAAGUCAUUAGUCAAAGACUGGGGCUCAACUUAGUAAGGCUAGUGAUACUAUAAUACUAGAGUAUCAGAGAGGAUUGCAGAAUUCCUGGUGUAGCGGUGAAAUGCGUAGAUAUCAGGAGGAAUACCGUUAGCGAAGGCGGCAAUCUGGCUGGAAACUGACGCUGAGGUGCGAAAGCGUGGGUAGCAAACAGGAUUAGAUACCCCGGUAGUC
RNAcentral lists this ribosomal RNA (464 nucleotides) under uncultured bacterium. RNAcentral describes it as "partial 16S ribosomal RNA". It matches the Rfam family "Bacterial small subunit ribosomal RNA", at positions 338 to 795 of the family's 1533-position model. The record is from RNAcentral.